UGCUUGGAUGAUCUCCUAUUUUAAAUUGAAUGUGCAAAAAGACCAAAAAACAUUUAAUCGGUAUGAAACUUUCACUUUCACUGUGCAGAGUAUUUUUAGCGUGUUUGUCACCACGCAUCUUAGAAAGAAAAAAAAAACAAAAAAAAAAAUGAGUUUGCACUUUUCUGCUACUUUUUGCGUCUUUUUGUUGUUGCGUUGAAAAAAAUAAAUAUCUGAUCUGGAACCGGAAACAAAAUCACUGAAGAAUUUGGAUGCACUCAAACGAGGAAGAGGAUUUCUGCGAGAUCAGCCAAAAAUGCUGUCGUCACUUCCACGGGCAAAACAAGCAACGAAAACGUUUAACACACCGGACACAACCUGAACUCAAUGAGAAGGCAAGCGAAAUCCGUCCUCAUUGCUUUGGUGACUGCUGCCUGAUAAUUACAAGAAUCAGGUAAGCCGUGGAUUCAUUUGAUGACCUGCAGAAAAUGUCCGGAACUCGUCCCAUUCGGCUAUCACGGACGCCUGUAUCACUACGAAGAUGUUGCGAAGCUGCCGGAUUGGAAUAAUGGGCUCAUUUUGCGGAAAAUUUGCAAAUAAUAUGAUGAAUACGGCUGAAGUGAAUGUAUGUAAAGUGUAAGAGAGUAAAAUGCUCAAUAAUAACAUUUAAAAUUAAAGUGUA
This is a long non-coding RNA of Aedes aegypti (yellow fever mosquito), 661 nucleotides long. RefSeq lists it as uncharacterized. The transcript is spliced from 2 exons. The record is from RefSeq and is a predicted model, not a curated record. NCBI's taxonomy places the organism in Eukaryota, Metazoa, Arthropoda, Insecta, Diptera, Culicidae.